Molecule: ribosomal RNA, 447 nt
Filed under: uncultured bacterium
Lineage: Bacteria
Description: SSU rRNA
Rfam family: Bacterial small subunit ribosomal RNA
Source: RNAcentral
AGAACGAACGCUGGCGGCAUGCCUAACACAUGCAAGUCGAACGCUCAUCUUCGGAUGGGAGUGGCGCACGGGUGAGUAACGCGUGGGAACCUGCCCCGAGGUUCGGGAUAACCGAUGGAAACGUCGGCUAAUACCGGAUACGUCCUAAGGGAGAAAGAUUUAUCGCCCUGGGAGGGGCCCGCGUCGGAUUAGCUAGUUGGUGGGGUAACGGCCUACCAAGGCGAUGAUCCGUAGCUGGUCUGAGAGGAUGAUCAGCCACACUGGGACUGAGACACGGCCCAGACUCCUACGGGAGGCAGCAGUGGGGAAUAUUGGACAAUGGGCGCAAGCCUGAUCCAGCAAUGCCGCGUGAGUGAUGAAGGCCUUAGGGUUGUAAAGCUCUUUCGGCGGGACGAUGAUGACGGUACCCGCAGAAGAAGCCCCGGCUAACUUCGUGCCAGCAGCCGC